UGGUGCCUGACGUCUUGGCAGU
This 22-nucleotide microRNA is filed under the name Sus scrofa (pig). RNAcentral's name for it is "ssc-miR-10383". The record is from miRBase by way of RNAcentral. Lineage: Eukaryota; Metazoa; Chordata; Mammalia; Artiodactyla; Suidae.